GUGGGGCAGGGACUGUGGCUGCAAGACUGUCCGAGGAUGGUAUCAGCCCUUGCUGGCUUCCCCAAACCUUGCUCACACCUGUGAACACUCUCUUGCCUUUCCACCUUCUACCAUGGGAUGAUGCUGCAAGAAGACCCUCCAAGAUGCCAGCUCCUCAGUGUUAGAUUUCCCAGCCUCCAGAAUCGUGAGAAAUAAAUAUCUGUUUAUUAGAAAUUACCCAGUCUGUGAUACUCUGUUACAGCAGCACAAAAUAAACUAAGACAGAAAAUUGGCAUAGAUAAGUGGGGCUGUUGCUAUAACAAAUACCUGAAAAUGUGAAAGUGGCUUUGGAACUGAGUAAUUGGUAGAAGCUGGAAGAAUUUUGAGGAGCAGGCUAUAAAAUGCCUAGAUUGCCAUACACGGAGCAUUAAGGGUGAUUCUGGUGACGACUCAGAGGGAGAACAAGAGGUGUAAGGAGAGCCUGAAUCUUCUUAGGCAUUACUAAGUGUUCAUGACCAGAAUGUUGGUGGAAAAAUGGACAGUAAAGGCUAUUUGCAUGAAUUCUUAAAUGGAAAUGAGGGACAAGAUAUUGGAAACUGGAACAAAGCCAUCCACGUCAUAAAGCAGAAAAGAACUUAGCUUAAUUGUGUUCAGGUUUGAAGGUGUUGUGGCAGGCAGAACUUAAGAGCAAUGAAGUAGAAUAUCUGCUGAAAGAAAUUUCUAAACAAAAUAUUGAAGGAGCUGUGUGGCUUCUUUUAACUGCUUACAAUAAAAUGAGAAAGGAGAGUAAUGCUUAAAGAUGGAAUUUAUAAUUUAAAGGAAACCAGAACGUAAUGUUUGCAGCCUAGCCAUACAAAGAACAA
Molecule: long non-coding RNA, 842 nt
Organism: Symphalangus syndactylus (siamang)
Lineage: Eukaryota; Metazoa; Chordata; Mammalia; Primates; Hylobatidae
Source: RefSeq, a predicted model, not a curated record